RNAcentral lists this long non-coding RNA (3236 nucleotides) under Canis lupus familiaris (dog). RNAcentral describes it as "lncRNA (ENSCAFG00000059185.1)". The record is from RNAcentral. Lineage: Eukaryota; Metazoa; Chordata; Mammalia; Carnivora; Canidae.
ACCCUGCGCUCCAGACCUGCCCUGCUGCACAUGGGGGUGUGAGCCCCUGAACUGUGGCUGGUCUGAACUGAGCUGUGCCUCAAGAAUAAAAUACACCCUAGGUUUUGAAGAUGAUGUAAGAAGCAUGUAAAAUAACUCAAUAUUUAAAUCGAUAUGAUAAAAUGAUGAUGUUUUGUGUGUAUUUGGCUAAAUACAUCAUUGAAUUUGAUUUUGUGUGUUUCGUUUUAAAAUGUGGCUGCUAGGUAAUUGAUAAUGAUGUACGUGGCUCACAUUAUAUUCCCACUGGCAGCACGGUUACAGGUACAGUCACCCUAUUUUCUGGAGCCCUUCCUGUCUCUGCAUUUGGGCCAUCAGACUGUUCUUCCCAGCCUGUCUGUCUGGGAAAUUAUGCGUCCUUCCUGACCUCAGUUCUUUCUUCCAGACAGCCAUCCCUCACACCCUUGCUUUGCAUUUUCUGGGCAGCUGCCUGCCUGUUUCUGUGUCCUAGCAAUUAGGAGCCUCCAGAGGUCUAGACAGUGUUUAUGUAGUUUCCUGUCUCUAGCUUCCCAGGUCAUCAGAUGAACUUAGGAAGGCAUCUACCCAGUACACGAACACAAUAGAACAUUACAGGAUGCAGUGGGACUGUCAAAUGCAUUACUUAGAAGUUGGUUGUGUGAGGAAAGAUGGGCUGGUAGCCAUGUACUGGGCACUGGUGGUGGGACAUGAGCCAGAGGACACAGCAUCCACCAAGCCUGUGAGCACGAUGCAUCUGAGGAUGCUCGUGAAGGAGAGCUGGUGGCCGCGGAAGCAGGGAGUGAGCACACAGGGGGGCUGCAGAGUCAGCACCGAGUGAUCUGGGAAGGAGUCUGGCUGCAUUGGGAGUUGGGGGAGCAGAGCAGGGUCUCAGGGCCACACCCAAGUUGGUCAUGUGGAGUGCAUGACCUCAGCCUCCUGUUCCACAGGGUCCGAGGCUUUCCCAGAGUCAGCUGUUUCCUGGGCUGACAGAGUGUGGACUCUGGCGUCAGAACAUCCACCCUCUGGCCUUGUGAGUUUAUUUUUUAUUUUUUUAAAGAUUUAUUUUAUUUAUUCAUUCAGAGAGAGAGAGACAAGCAGAGGGAGAAGCAGGCUCCACACAGGGAGCCCGACCCGACAAGAUCUGGAGUCUCCAGGAUCACACCCUGGGCUGCAGGCGGCGCUAAACCGCUGCGCCACCGGGGCUGCCCUGGCCUUGUGAGUUUAGGCAAGUGCUUAACCUUUCUGGCCUUCCAUCUCCUCAUUGGAAAAACAGUAACAUGUCUACCUCACACGAAUGCUCGAGAAUUAAGGGAAUGGCCUCAUGAGAAAUGAGUCUGGGGCUCACUUGGAGCAAUUCCCCGUGUCACAGCUAUCACUGAAACUGCCUUUCCAACUGAUCUCUUCUGUUACGUUCUUCCUAACAGGAGUGUUCGUGAGCGAGAAUGAAAAGGGCGCACUGAUAUGCCGGGGACCAGAGUACAGUGGAAUAUCAAACGCUCUUUGCAUCCAUUAUUCGUGUCUCUCAGGCUAGAAGCUAGGUAAAUGGUCAAAUACCAUGUGAUUCAAAAUGAUCACAUCUGCAGAAUACAUUCUUUAUCUGCAGGAAGGCAGACAGUUACUAUGAUUUGAGAGUCUACCCUGCGUGUGUGCCUGAGAACCUAAGUGCAGUCUCAGUCACACUUGUGGUGACUGGGCCAUACAGGUGGUGGAAACGGUAACCGAGGUCACACCGCCCCGCGUCCGAACAGGGCCACCCUCCUCGGCCUGCAGGCUCAAGGGCACUUUUAUAUUAACUUUCCAAUAAAAUAAUUCUGGUAAAAUAAACCUGGAAUGCAGAAUAGCCCUCUCAACGUCUCAGUUCCCUCGUCUUAGAUAAAGAACCGUGAAACCGUGCGUCCAACUGUCAGAUACUCUGGGAUCCGCAGCAUCCUGCGAAACCGGCAAACACUCCCAGGUGCCGAGCGCACAGAGAGGAAAAUCUCUUCUCCCAAUCUACUGUGUAUUUGCUCAAUCGAGUUUAGGGUGCCUAAUUUUCUUGCUUCUAAGAGGUGGGACGAGAGACGGUUCCUGAUGCUGCUCCAGAACCUGAGUGCACCUGGUCCGUGGGCUCUGCGGAUGCAGGCAGCCGAACCGAGGGAGCUGCUGAGGUAGCAGGCGGCUCAGAAGCCGUGCCUCAGUUUCCCUGUCGUAACUCCGGACGUCCCAGCCAGGCCGGAGGGUCAGCCCAGCUCGGUUCCCAGCGCCUCCAGUCAACCGAACGCUGACCGGGGCUUCACCCCGCCGCCGCCACCUUCCCAGCCCACAUGGGUCUCUGCCCGCAGCCCGCCGCUCAGACCCGGUGGGGAGGCGGGUAAUCUACGCGGUCAGCAAUGGCUCCGCCUUCCCUCGCUUCGCCUGUCGGUUGCUAGGAGCCGGCCGCGGGGUAUUCUGGGACAGCGAUGGCUCGGCGCUCUUCUGCUCGAGCCUGCCAACUGCACGGAGCUGGAAGUGGCGCGAGCGCGCUAGGGGCCGCCGCGCGGCAUGCCGGACCGCGGUCGUUCGGCGCUCGGCUGCCAGGGCCUGCCAGUUGCUAGGAGCCGGGGACGCCGGCGGGCCUCCCGGGCCUACCAGCUGCGAUGGAGCCUGGGAAGGUGGGUGCGAGCGGGCGGCGCGCGGGGCGGGCCCGGGGGUCUCCCGUUGGCCUGUAUAUAUAUAUACACCCGCACGGUUGUCGGUGUCCUGGCCUCCCUCCUGCCGUGGUGGUGUCGCGCGCUAGGCGGUGUCGCGAUGGUUCCCCGGAGUCGUGCGGCCAAACGCUUGUAGUCCUCAGAGGGGCCCGCGGGCGUGGGGGUGGGGGUGGGGGUGGGGGUGGGGGUGGAGGGGCGGAGAGACCGCGGUGCUGCCGGGAAGGAGUCUCUUCUCCCCUCCCUGAGCUCAGUGCGGGGCUCCUCCUGCCUUCCAGGGGCUGAUGCGGGGCUCCUCCUGCCUUCCAGGGGCUGAGUGCGGGGCUACUCACCCUCCGGGGGCUGAGUGCGGGGCUCCUCCUGCCUUCCAGGGGCAGAGUGCGGGGGCUGAGUGCGGGGCUCCUCCUGCCCUCCCGGGGCUGACUGCGGGGCUCCUCCUGCCCUCCAGGGGGGGAGUGCGGGGCUCCUCCUGCCCUCCCGAGGCCGACUGUGGGGCUUCUCCAGCCCACCAGGGGCUGAGUGCGGUGCACCUCUGCCCUCCCGGGGCUGACUGCGGGGCUCCUCAUGCCCUCCAGGGGC